CUGCGGUCCACGGCGCCGGGCCGCAUGGAGGGGCUGAGCAGGCUGCCCCCGCCGCACCUGCCAAGAAGGCGCCCUCUGAGUGGCUGCCGCGACGAGGGGCCGAAGGGCAUCAGCGGCUCGGGCUCCCCGCGGGGCGGGAGCAGCGGGGCCAGCAGGCUGACUGGCUUGCCGGCCGGCCAAUCGGGGCGGCCCGCCAGCCGGGUGCCCUUCGGUGAUUGGUCGGCGGCCGAGGCGACGGGACGGACGGCGUCCCCCGGCGUCAGCUGCAUGAGGGGAGGGGGCUUCGGCAGGGAGAACGGCAGCGGCUGCGGGGAGGCCGUGGCCGCCGCCGCCGCCGAGUCCCCUCCGGACAUCCUGGCCGCCGGGCCCGCCGCCGGGAGCCCUUUCCCGCCUGCCCUGGCGGCCGCCGGCCGGGGACGGCGAGGAGCGGGCGGAUAGAGAGAGAAAGGGAGGCCCCGCGGCGGAGCCGAGUAGAGAAAGCGGCGGCCGGCCGGCGGCGGAGAGCAACGGCGGGAGCGAGCGCGGGGCCGGGCCGCGGAGCUGGCGCGGGGGGAAGCUGCGGCGGGGGCCGAGCGCAGGGAGCGCUGGGAAAGCGCUCACGUGGGCUGCGGGCGGGCGGCACCAAGAGCGCCGCGCAAAUAGGGGUGUGGCGCGGCGCACCUUCCGCCUCUCCCGCCUCGACGGAACGGGAGGACGCGGCCGCCUCCCCUCCGCCUUGCGGCAGGUGGUGCGUGCCGGCACUCAGGCCCGGCCUCGCCACGGCCCCCCCGCGCGGCGCCGGCUUGGUAUGCGCCGGGCUGCGGCAGCGCGGCAAGGCGGGCGCGGCCCCCGGCAUCGCCGCGCCGUGGUAGGCGCCUCCGGGGGCGGGCUGUGGCCCGGCUCGGGGAGCGGAGCCUGCCGGUACUCGUGCGGCCCUGCGGGGCUGUCCGUCUCCGGGUCGCUCCUUUGCAGCUCUUCCCGCUUCGGCUUUUCCUUCGUGUUCGCGCAGCGCUCUGUUGGCGGGGCUGACGGACAAAGGGCGGUGUGGGAGCGGGGUUGUCGGGCUGAGCCUGGCGGGGCAGCUGCCUGAUGUGCGCCCGUCUGACUCCUGUGCCGGGGAGAGCUGUGGAGAAAGGCGAGGCUUUGUGCUUUGGAGCCCCGUCCUGCGGCCUCGCUGGGCUGUGAGGGGCCCGUCCUGUGCUGGGGAGGGCGUGGGAGAGCACAGGGAGACCAGCGGCAGGGAGAGCUGCAGGUUGGCAUAACGGCCCUGCGGGUUUAACUGAAACGAGGGGUGAAACGCCACUCUUAGUUCUUCAGUGAAGUGCUACAGCACAUAACGUUGGAUUUCUUUCAUAUAGCUUGUUAUAAGAACAUACGUUGUAUAAUCAAUGAGUAUAUAGACGUAAAAUCAGUGACAAUACAGAGAAGAAUACUGGGCUUACCAAAAAAAAGACUCCACGAGGAGCCAUCUCCAGGGAGAGACCCCUCCCCAGCGGCAGUCAGCCCUGGAAUGGGCUCUAGCAGAGGUGCAGCCUGGCUGCAGCCCUUCCACUCACACAGCUCAACUGCCUUCACCUGUGCUCCCACGGCUGACUCAGCGCUCGCCUCAGGUGGUCAAUCAGAGGUUCAGGCCGUGAUUCAACAGGGAGCAGCACGCCAGCACUGUUUCCUAGAACCUGUCGCUUACUGUGCAGGUGAGCUCAGUGUAACUGCGUCUGUAGUUUCUCAUAAUCGGUUGUGACUGUGGCCCUUUAGAUGUGCUCUCCAAAAGAAGCACUGCUAGAAGUGUGAUGGCUUCCAAAUGUGGAAGCAUUUCUGCAGGUGUCCUGCUCUUGUCUUUUAACAAGUCUGUUCAACAGUAGGCCUAAGUUCCCUUCUGCUACCAAAAUCCAGGAAUGAAACUUGACGACGUGAAUGACAGAUUAGGAAGCAGAUAUUACUUUAUUGCAGUGCUUGGUGCGUGAGGGAUUGCUCCUCACCAUCUGAAAGCACACAGAUUUUGUAUGCUUUAAUACACAAAUAUUCAUAGGGUUUCCUCAGAGUGCCCACCUAGUCCCAGAAUUGCUAUACAUAUUAAAAUCUGGUACUAUGCAUAAACCCAUGUUAGUGUGGUUUUUUUGCAAGGGGGCCUGUGGUGGUUGUGAGGUUCCACUGGGAGGUGCUAUCCAGGUGAAGGGUUGUCUGUUAUGUAGGCCAGGUCCUGUACUUGGUCAAGAACCUAUUUACAAAACCAUGACCGUUGACUUAGUUUCUAAUGAGCACAUCAAUCUUGUUACAGUGCUUGUAUCAUCAGCCCUACAGUGUACCUCCUCAAGGCUGGUGAAAUGCUGAGGCUCUACUUUUAGGCUCCAGAAGUCCUGCUUAUCUAGGACAGAGUCUUCUCUAGACAAAAUACCAGUCGGCUGAAGAGUUUGAACUCAUUGCUAAAGGCUCUGAACUUAUUGCCAGGUAUGAAUAUGAGGAUUUAUAGGGUUUUUGCAAGAUGGGAUCCCACAAAGAUCGCAAGCUAUCAUUUGUGACUGCAGCGAGACUGUACUGCUGCAGUGGUAUUCUUUGAGGGGAACCUGAAAUCUGCUGAUAGAAAUGGUUUCUCUGCCACUAGUUUUCAUUAAAGCCAAAUGUAUCUGUGAAGUUAAUUCAUUAUCUCAUAGUAAAGAACAGCUCACACACGUAAGCUGAAUUUGUUUUGUGAAAUGCACAGAUUAUUUUGCUUACAGGGUUUUAAAAUAUACUGUCUCCAGGCUGAACAAAUGCCUAGUUUCACUGGGCCCAGGUGAGAACAUCUGAUUAGGAGUUCUCAUCUAAAUAAGGUAUGAAAUUCCCAGCCAGCUCUCCAGUGAGGGCUGAAUACAUGUGAAGAGAGCAGCAAAAUGUGUGUACCUCCAUCGAAUCUCUGUAGGUAAGCAUUAUCUUGACACUUUCAGCUGGUUUUCAGAGGUGUAUUAAGAACAGCUUAAAGAUACAAAGCACAUUUUCACAUUCUUGUUUGAAAGAUGGACACAGAAGUAUUAUGCAGGUGGUACUUGAACCACAUCCCUUGGCUUCUAACCUUCACUGUCUUUUUGGUCGAGCCUCAGUUAUAAUUUUACUAAGAAAUAUAUUGAAUAUGCUCAAAUUGAUGUUAACUUCCAUUGUCACCAAAGGAGGGCAUUUAAAACCGUGAAUACUAUCACAGGAAGACUGAGCUGUUGAUUUGUAACGGUGAUUUUGCUUUAAUAUGCACUUCUGCCACGUUGAAGUUCUCUAAGUUUAAUCGCUGUGUGAUAAGAAGAGGCAGCUUGUAGACAGGAUAUUAAACCUUGAUUUCUAUCAUACCAAACAAUUGCUGUAUCUUCACCACUUCUUAAAACUGACAUCCUUUCCUUUCAGGUUGACGUGUCCUACUGUAUUAUUUAAGACUUGAUUAUUGCAGUUGAAAUUGGGUUGUUUUUUUUUAGUGCAAAACUAUGUACUUUAAUGGCUGUAUUUCAUCCAUCUUCACUGUGAAUCUGAAUCUAACUUGAUGUCUCACAAACUGCCCAGUUGAUGCUUUCCUGGCCAGGUUUCCAUGUGAACAGGGUGAGCACACAGCUAUGUAGUGUGUCACCAAUCCAAUUGCAGGCAGCACAGUGCUUGGGAAAAGCUUUACCUGGUGUUCAUCAUGAGUAGGAGUCGUCCCCACCUGUGAAGCCUGGGUUCCUGAUGGAGAAGUUGCUGAUCCUCCUCACCUGUGUCAUCUGAGUGGUUUAGAGGAAUCAUGCCAUCGGACACAGAUCAGUAAUGCUUGUUGCUUGAUCCAACUGCUGUAUAGCUGAUGAAUUCAUGGAUUUAAGACAAAUAAUCCGUAUUUCAUUACUAGCAAGUGCUAGAAAUAAAAAUGUACUCUGCACUAUUGCUUGGAAAAACAAAUCCUGAAGUCGUAAGAGAGGAUUAAAGUUGGAAAAAAAUCUCUCAAGAGAAAAACGAAGGGAGUAAUGACAUCUGCUUAGCAGCAUCCAGCCCCUCAGCCUGCAGCACGGACCUCUGGAGCCCUUACACACGGAAUAAAAGGGGAUGCAGUGAGUGAGGAGCAGCAGAACUGCAAGCAGAGCAGCGCUACUGGUGGUGGUGUUCUACCAUGGCAGUAAACAAAGCCAUCGGUUGCAGACUUCUGCACCAAUUCAGGUGGCUCCAUUGAAGGUGUAAGAUUGGAGGUGUGAGGUUUCUCAGCAGUGGGACGUUACCACCUAGCUGUGAGCUGGCUUUGCUCUGGUGGGCGUCCUGCUGUUCCCCCACAGUGAGCUGUGUUCUGGUUCUGUUGGAAGGCUGCCCGGUCCUUCUGCCGGGUUUAUAUUCCACUUAAACGCGUGGCUAUUCAAGUGACCAACCUUUUGGAGUGUCUCGUUUGGCUUUGCCUUAAACGUUUGCUGCUCCUACCCCUUCCCCCCUUCCUACAGAGGCCUUUUUAUAGGUGGCCUGUAGUGCCAUAUAGUUUUUGCUUAGAGUUGAGCAUUUUCCUAAGCUUAUGGGGUUAACCACGAUUAUGGGAGAGUUCUUGAAGCAUUUUUGAAUGUAAUGCUUUUAUUUAAUGUUUGUAAGCAAGUUCAAAGGUGUCAGAUACAAAUGUCCCAGUAUGGCACAAGGACGAGACGUGGCAUUGGGGAUUGGGCUGUUCUGUUGCUAGUGCACACAAAUGUGGCAAUGAACUUUUUCCCUCGUGCUUUAGAGCAUUAAAACAGCUGUUUUGGAUCAGAGCAAAGUGGGCAGCAGCUGUGGCAGUGAUCUGCCUGUGAUUAGUGGGCUCAGGCACUCGUGGAGUCACAGAUGGGCUUUGUGCUCUUAAGGGCACUGUGCUUUUAGGGCUCCCGCUUUUGCACCAGUGUGCUUCUUAAAGUGCUAAAAGUUUUCCCAGCUGGAAGUCCUCACAGCAUCACACAGCAAAGAGCUCUGGGUAUCAGCAUCCACACAAAGGCACCGCGCAGUCCGCCUGUGUUCCAAUGGGCACAAACAGCACUGAUUGCGUAUUAAAGCCAUUGUCACCAUCACAACCUGGGAGGAGAGCAGAGUGCCAGGACGCUGCAGGACCCCGAAGAUUAUGUCUUAUAAAUAAACAGCUCAAAUUUGUCUGAAGCCUCAGCGUGCGAUGUAUGGAGCGUUGCAUUCUGACCGUGUUACGCCAAGAUUGCUGCUAAUGGCUUUUGGCAGCACAGCCACCAAGUCAGAAAGCUGAGAUGAUUGCAGAUUGUCUGCUUCCAUACACAUCAUACAGCUGCCUGGAAGACGGUGGAGGCAGCGCCUAAUUGAUGUUUGUUCUUGUCAAUGCGUGAUCGGGUUUUGAUGCAAGGUUCUCCUCUUUUGUGCUCUUCUGGUCAAAUUUUCGUUUAAAUUUGUAUUCUGUGCUGAACAGUAGUGCCAGCAGAACCAUAAGCGAGGAGUUUAAAUUUAGGAUGUGUUGCAGAAAUCCAAAAAUGCUUUACUGUUUGGGUAAAAACGUUUUUGUGUUUUUUUUUCCCCUUCAGCUGCUGCUCUGCAUGCCGUAAAACAGCAAUCCGAAGGGUUUGCUCUGAAAGCAUCUCUUUGUGCCCUGGGCCAGUGACCCCACUGCUGUGCCAGUAAAUCAUGGCAAGCUGGAGGAAUCUCCCUGAUUUCUGAGCUCCUAAUCCCGCAAAGCCUGUAAAUGAUGGCUGGCUUAGCUUUGUUUCUGAUAAAACGAGGCUUAUGAGAUGAUGACAUUUGCUGCCUGUUUCUCCUCCGCUCCGUUCCGUGUCACCACCCAAGAGAUCUCUGGAGCCCAUCAGUGCAAGGCUGUGUGCCUAGUGCUACAACACUACCGCGUGCUGGAGAGCAGGGAGGAGCCUGGGUGAAUGUAUGGGAAUGAAUUUGGCUGUGUUAGCACUCCGAUCCCCUUCUGCAUGAUGUGCUUCCCCUGUUCUGCAGUGUCUGAUGCAGGUAUUGGGUCAGCCCAGUGAUGUUUGCUUCCUGGAGAGCACGCAUGGAACCUGCUGAUGGAGUUUGUUAACAGCCCCGCUGUUCCUUAAGCCAAGCUGGGUUUUUGCUUUGAUAAAACCUCUGGGCAUGGUGUGUGGCUGUACAGAGUGUGAGAACUCAGGGAGGUUCUUUACUCUGAGAGUGGCGAGGUGCUGAACAGCUGCCCAGAGAGGCUGUGGAUGCCCCGUCCAUCCCUGGAGGUGUUCAAGGCCAGGUUGGAUGGGCCCUGGGCAGCCUGGGC
This 6166-nucleotide long non-coding RNA is filed under the name Gallus gallus (chicken). The record is from RNAcentral. Lineage: Eukaryota; Metazoa; Chordata; Aves; Galliformes; Phasianidae.